Molecule: transfer RNA, 72 nt
Filed under: Heterocephalus glaber (naked mole-rat)
Lineage: Eukaryota; Metazoa; Chordata; Mammalia; Rodentia; Bathyergidae
Rfam family: tRNA
About the family: Transfer RNA (tRNA) molecules are approximately 80 nucleotides in length. Their secondary structure includes four short double-helical elements and three loops (D, anti-codon, and T loops).
Source: Rfam by way of RNAcentral
GGGGGUGUAGCUCAGUGGUAGAGGGCUUGCCUACCAUGCAGGAGGUCUUGUGUUCCAUCCACAGCACUGCAA